Molecule: ribosomal RNA, 462 nt
Filed under: uncultured bacterium
Lineage: Bacteria
Description: bacterial SSU rRNA
Rfam family: Bacterial small subunit ribosomal RNA
Source: RNAcentral
GAUGAACGCUGGCGGCGUGCUUAACACAUGCAAGUCGAACGGGAAACCUUUUAUUGAAGCUUCGGCAGAUUUAAUUUGUUUCUAGUGGCGGACGGGUGAGUAACGCGUGGGUAACCUGCCCUAUACAGGGGGAUAACAACCAGAAAUGGUUGCUAAUACCGCAUAAGCGCACAGGACCGCAUGGUCCGGUGUGAAAAACUCCGGUGGUAUAGGAUGGACCCGCGUUGGAUUAGCCAGUUGGCAGGGUAACGGCCUACCAAAGCGACGAUCCAUAGCCGGCCUGAGAGGGUGAACGGCCACAUUGGGACUGAGACACGGCCCAGACUCCUACGGGAGGCAGCAGUGGGGAAUAUUGCACAAUGGGGGAAACCCUGAUGCAGCGACGCCGCGUGAAGGAAGAAGUAUCUCGGUAUGUAAACUUCUAUCAGCAGGGAAGAUAGUGACGGUACCUGACUAAGAAGC